AGUUCAAUAGUGCGUGAAACCACUCAAAGGUAACCGGACAGAGCUGAAUGAAGGAUUGCACAUUUGUACUUUGCUUAAUCUAAUGUUGACUUGAAGACAUUGUCGUGCUUUAUGUUGGCAUAUAUGAGAAGGCGUUGUGCUAUUGUGCGAUUCUGACACCAUGAUCGAUUAUAGAGUUAGCCUACGGGUGUGCAAGCUGCCAAAUCACUUUUGUGACUUGGUCUUAUAAGCUUUCUCGUUAGUGCUAGCUGAGAUUCGAUUCGCGGCGCUGCUUAGUGUAGCGGACAAGAUGUAUUGCGAUGUGAAGAUAAGCAGUUGACUCAUUGAGAGUUUGCAGCUUUUUCGGAUCAUUGUGAUGUGUCCUCUGUCUGUUGCGUCCAAAAUCCAUGGUGCAAUUGUAGGCAAUCUGUCCGACCCGUCUUGAAACACGGACCAAGGAGUUUAACAUGUGCGCGAGUCAUUGGGUAUUACGAAACCUAAAGGCGCAGUGAAAGUAAAGGCUUGACUUGUUCAAGCUUAGGUGGGAUCUUGGCUUUCAAUGUGUGGCUAUCCAUACAUGGGCUAGGCGCACUACCAGCUCGUCUUAUGCUUUAUUAAGUAAGGCGACGCAAGAGCGUACAUGUUGAGACCCGAAAGAUGGUGAACUAUGCUUGUGCAGGUUGAAGCCAGAGGAAACUCUGGUGGAGGACCGUAGCGAUUCUGACGUGCAAAUCGAUCGUCUAACAUGAGUAUAGGGGCGAAAGACUAAUCGAACCAUCUAGUAGCUGGUUCCCUCCGAAGUUUCCCUCAGGAUAGCUGGCACUUCGGAAACAAACAGUUUUAUCCGGUAAAGCGAAUGAUUAGCAGUAUUGUGGGAUAACAUAUCCUCAAAUGAUUCUCAAACUUUAAAUGGGUGAGAUGCUCAACUCUCUUAACUUAUGGAGUUGGGCUUUUGAAUGUGAGUGCCUAGUGGGCCAUUUUUGGUAAGCAGAACUGGCGAUGCGGGAUGAACCGAACGUCUGGUUACGGAGCCGAACAUAACGCUCAUAAGAGACCACAAAAGGUGUUGGUUGAUUUUGACAGCAGGACGGUGGCCAUGGAAGUCGGAAUCCGCUAAGGAGUGUGUAACAACUCACCUGCCGAAUCAACCAGCCCUGAAAAUGGAUGGCGCUCGAGCGUUGGUCCUAUACCAGACUGUUACCACGAUACCGACAUUGUAAGUGGUAACAAGUAGGAGGGUGCCGUAAUGAGCAUUGAAGCUUCGACCGUAAGGUUGGGUGGAGCCAUUACGGGUGCAGAUCU
This 1281-nucleotide ribosomal RNA is filed under the name Phonorhynchoides sp. n. 1 TJ-2014. RNAcentral describes it as "eukaryotic LSU rRNA". It matches the Rfam family "Eukaryotic large subunit ribosomal RNA", at positions 386 to 1451 of the family's 3401-position model. Lineage: Eukaryota; Metazoa; Platyhelminthes; Rhabdocoela; Polycystididae. The record is from RNAcentral.